UCAUUUUUGGGGGGGGGGGGAAGACAGAAGGGUCGAGAGAGACCGAGCAAAAAAGAGAAAAGAAGGAAGAAAAAGGAAGAGGAAAAUAAGAAGAAUGAGGAGGAUGGCAAGGAGAUUUCAAGCGAGGGUUUUAAUUUCUUCAAUUUCUCACUUGAUUUAAAAUGGUAAGUGUAAGUUUGUAUAUAUAUAUAUAUAUAUAUAUAUUUUUGAUGUUAUAAAUCAGAAUAUAACAAAGUUUAUUUGGAUAUUAAGGUUGAAGAAAGUGGAAACUUCGAAAAUGGGUUUGUGAGAUAAAAGCAUCUACUUUGAAAUUCUUGGCAUUAUAUGAUGCUAAAAACUUAAAAUAAUGAUUUGAGGUUGAAACUUUCCAUUUUCAGCCUUUUUCGAGCUAUUGUGGUAUAAGUGCUAUUUUUGAAAUUCUACCAAGAAAAGCGCUAUAUAUGUCAAUGCUUUCGGCCACAAAUUUUAAUAUAUAGACAUUGGUGCUAGUUUUCAGUUUUCUAGAAUUAUAGUGCUAGUUUUGUCAAUCAUCUAAAUUUUUUUUUUUUGUGGAUUUUUAGUAUUGGAACCAAAUUAAGUGUUAAAUAUUUGGGAUUUUGUUGUUAAAAUAAUUUAUUUAAACGAGUAUAUGUUGUUAGUGACCUUAAUUGGGAUUAUGAGGUUGAAAAUAAAAUAUAUCAAGUUUCUAUUGGUAAACUAAUAUUUCUAAGCGUAGGAAAAUACUGAAAGCAUCUUUGUGAGGGGAUAUGAUUUAUUAGAGCGAGUGCGUGAUAUCAUACUUGAUAUUUGAAGUUGAAGCGGUGACGAGAAGAUUGAAACCAUGAUCUACCAUGACUCGGCGAGUGGAAAAAUUUAUAUAUUUUUAUAAAUUAAUAUUUGAAUUUUAAUAUUACAUUAUGUAAAUUUCUUGAACAAUUACAUUAUUAUUAUGAAAGGUUCUUUCAUUAUGAUAUACGUGAAAUCGUUAAAAGUUGUACAUGGAUCACUUAUGAAUUGGAAUGUGACAUGUGAUAUUGAGAUCGACCAGAAAAGUACCAUUGAUUAUAUACUUUUUCUAGUUCACAAAGGGAUCAUGGCCUUUUUCUUUUCUACAGGGAGGAGUCUUGACCUAACAUUGAUCUUGACCAUGUACAUACAGUUCAUAGAAGGGCCUUGAUCGUAUUCUAGAAUUGAUUACCAGAGAUUUUGAGACCGACUUUCGUUUACAGAGGGGCCAAAGUCCUAUGGCGAAAGUUCUUAACCCGAGGGGCGGAUCAUUAAUUUUAGUCAAAGGAUAUACUUUUGGUAGAUCACAUGUGAUGUGAUAAGAUGAUAGUAUAGAUAUCAGCUGAUGACUAUAUCGUAAUUAUGAGAUGAUAUUUAUAGUGUUAUGAGAAUAUCUCACUUUUUUGCUAUAAUUGUACAAGUCUAUCAUGUGAAUAUUAAACAAUAUAAAUUUGAUGUUUGAUAAAAAUGUUUAAAGGAGA
Molecule: long non-coding RNA, 1466 nt
Filed under: Olea europaea subsp. europaea
Lineage: Eukaryota; Viridiplantae; Streptophyta; Magnoliopsida; Lamiales; Oleaceae
Source: RNAcentral